Ceratotherium simum simum (southern white rhinoceros) is the source of this 85-nucleotide non-coding RNA. NCBI's taxonomy places the organism in Eukaryota, Metazoa, Chordata, Mammalia, Perissodactyla, Rhinocerotidae. The record is from RefSeq and is a predicted model, not a curated record.
AGUCACCAUACCCAUAAUUAGAUCUCCAAAAAUUAUUCAUUCUGCAUAACUGAAAGUUUCUGUCCUUUGACCAACAUCUCCCCAU